GGUGAUGGAUGGGGAUGCGUCUGAUUAGCUUGUUGGCGGGGUAACGGCCCACCAAGGCUACGAUCAGUAGGGGUUCUGAGAGGAAGGUCCCCCACAUUGGAACUGAGACACGGUCCAAACUCCUACGGGAGGCAGCAGUGAGGAAUAUUGGUCAAUGGACGAGAGUCUGAACCAGCCAAGUAGCGUGCAGGAUGACGGCUCUAUGGGUUGUAAACUGCUUUUAUAAGGGAAUAAAGUUAGUCUCGUGAGACUUUUUGCAUGUACCUUAUGAAUAAGGACCGGCUAAUUCCGUGCCAGCAGCCGCGGUAAUACGGAAGGUCCGGGCGUUAUCCGGAUUUAUUGGGUUUAAAGGGAGCGUAGGCCGGAGAUUAAGCGUGUUGUGAAAUGUAGAUGCUCAACAUCUGCACUGCAGCGCGAACUGGUUUCCUUGAGUACGCACAAAGUGGGCGGAAUUCGUGGUGUAGCGGUGAAAUGCUUAGAUAUGACGAAGAACUCGGAUUGCGAAGGCAGCCUGCUGUAGCGCAACUGACGCUGAAGCUCGAAAGCGUGGGUAUCGAACAGGAUUAGAUACCCUGGUAGUCCACGCGGUAAACGAUGGAUGCUCGCUGUUU
This 611-nucleotide ribosomal RNA is filed under the name uncultured Bacteroidota bacterium. RNAcentral describes it as "bacterial SSU rRNA". It matches the Rfam family "Bacterial small subunit ribosomal RNA", at positions 217 to 825 of the family's 1533-position model. The record is from RNAcentral. Lineage: Bacteria; Pseudomonadati; Bacteroidota.